RNAcentral lists this ribosomal RNA (253 nucleotides) under uncultured bacterium. RNAcentral's name for it is "partial 16S ribosomal RNA". It matches the Rfam family "Bacterial small subunit ribosomal RNA", at positions 524 to 776 of the family's 1533-position model. The record is from RNAcentral.
UACGUAGGGUGCAAGCGUUGUCCGGAAUUAUUGGGCGUAAAGAGCUCGUAGGCGGUCUGUCGCGUCUGCUGUGAAAACUCGGGGCUCAACUCCGAGCCUGCGUUCGAUACUGGACGGCUAGAGUCUGGUAGGGGGAUCUGGAAUUCCUGGUGUAGCGGUGGAAUGCGCAGAUAUCAGGAGGAACACCGGUGGCGAAGGCGGGAUCCUGGGCCAGUACUGACGCUGAGGAGCGAAAGCGUGGGGAGCAAACAGG